RNAcentral lists this ribosomal RNA (406 nucleotides) under Alectroenas madagascariensis. RNAcentral's name for it is "partial 12S ribosomal RNA". It matches the Rfam family "Bacterial small subunit ribosomal RNA", at positions 794 to 1382 of the family's 1533-position model. The record is from RNAcentral. Lineage: Eukaryota; Metazoa; Chordata; Aves; Columbiformes; Columbidae.
GCUUGGCCCUAAAUCUUGAUGCUUACCCUACCAAAGCAUCCGCCCGAGAACUACGAGCACAAACGCUUAAAACUCUAAGGACUUGGCGGUGCCCCAAACCCACCUAGAGGAGCCUGUUCUAUAAUCGACAACCCACGAUACACCCGACCACUUCUUGCCAAAAACAGCCUACAUACCGCCGUCGCCAGCUCACCUCCCCUGAGAGCACAGCAGUGAGCAUAAUCGCCCUAACCUCGCUAACAAGACAGGUCAAGGUAUAGCUUAUGAAGUGGAAGAAAUGGGCUACAUUUUCUAACCUAGAAAACCACUAUACUCUCAACGAAAGGGAGUGUGAAACAACUCCCAGAAGGCGGAUUUAGCAGUAAAGCGGGAUAAUAAAGCCCCCUUUAAACUGGCUCUGAGGCAC